Long non-coding RNA from Trifolium pratense (red clover), 298 nucleotides. RefSeq lists it as uncharacterized. The transcript is spliced from 3 exons. Lineage: Eukaryota; Viridiplantae; Streptophyta; Magnoliopsida; Fabales; Fabaceae. The record is from RefSeq and is a predicted model, not a curated record.
GACAAAACUAAAUGAAGAAUAUCCACAUGUGGUAUAUGAAGAGGAUUGUCACACUUGUGACCAAAUUGGCUCUUCCAAUAUACAUGAUGAGAUGGUAAGAGGUUUGUCGUCUGUUGCGUGGCAAAAGGUGAAUGUCAGUUUUAACUCUGGUUGCCUAAUUCAGUAUCAGGCUCAUAGUCUUAUUCAGGUGCAAUAUAAAUCCAAACAUAUCAAAGGUGCCGAUGUUAUCAAGCAUAUGAUUGACCAUUUUCUUAUAUAGGGGGCGGCCGUCAAUUGUAGGGAUCGACCAUUUGCUAUU